ACAACCUUUUUUGAAGGUGAUUGUCUAGCGGGCUACAGAUUGCUUUGCGAAAGCCCUGCAUUGCUCACUACCGGCACAGCCUUGGCAGAGAGGAAUGAGGAGGAUUUGGGGACUCUCUGGAAUGGAGGGGGGCACAGCCAGGGAAGGAGAUCAGCAUUCAGAAAUCAUAUAAAAUCUGGAAACUGAGCUGGCUGAUUGUGAUGAGUGGCACCCUACUCAUUGGCCUGGGAUGCUGCUAGUGAGGAGGAGAGCAACUGGCCCUAUCCAUCCCCAGAACAGCAUCCCUCCAAUGGCUGCUGCUGAUGUCUAUCCUAUGUUGUUGUUUUUUUAGAUUGUGAGCCCUUUGAGGACAUGGAACCAUUUCAUUAAUCUAUCCAUUCCUAUGCAUUCAUUCCUACCUACCUAU
Molecule: long non-coding RNA, 406 nt
Organism: Hemicordylus capensis (graceful crag lizard)
Lineage: Eukaryota; Metazoa; Chordata; Lepidosauria; Squamata; Cordylidae
Exons: 3
Source: RefSeq, a predicted model, not a curated record